GUCAGGCGAAACUGGGUUUGCCCCAAAAAAAAAAAAAAAAAAGAAUCCAAAAAAAAAAUAUGGCAAUACUCGCAGAGAUGUAAGUGUAAAGUGAUGUUUAUUUACAGUGCUCGAGAGGUGAAACAGUCCCAGUAGACAAACAACCAAAGCUAUUUACAAAAGUAACAAACAAAAAAAACAAAUAGGAAAAAAAAAAACUGCACAAAAUAACAAAGAAAGAAAAAUGUAUAUAUAUAAAUAUAUACACGCAAACUACCUCAAUGUCAAAAUGUCAAAUAAAUCGCUCACGGCACCACACUUGCUCGCUUGCUCGCCAGGUUAACUGACAACCUUUUCUUAUUUGGGGCUCCUCUUUAUAGUCCAAGCCCCACCCAUUUUGUUAAAACCAUCAUCAACAUGAGUGGGUAAGUAUUCAGGUGAGUAUAUUGCAACAUUACAUAAAUAUUUACACACAUAAAAUAACGAAAUAUAUAUAAACAAAAAAAUAAAGUCAAAAUAACAAAUACAAAUAUAGACAUAAAUAAUAAUAAACACAUAAUAAUAGUGCAACUUUCCAUUACCCCCCCCCCCCAUAUUAACAAGACAGUGGACGAGCCGACUUCCGGUUGCUUCGCGCCGACGCGUCCACACACAGCGAUCCCGGCACUAAUUAUCCCGGCCGCUGGGUGACGCUCAGGUUCGGCCGACUGAUGGUGGAGAAGCAACGCGAAAGACCGGCAACACAGACGCUGACAAACACGGAACACAGCGUGGAUUCUGACGGGGAUGGAAAUGGAGUGGAUAUGUUUGCGUGUAUGACGACCAGCGUGCUAAUGGCGUGCGUGUGCACCCACAACGCCUCAGCAGAGAACGGAGGAUGAGGUAAGUUGGGCUGAGUGUGUGUGUGUGUGUGUGUGUGCUGCGCUAACCAACAGGGACAGGUCACUCUGUCACAUCACCUCCCCCCUCCCCAGGCCGCAAACUGACCGGAUUUCGGGACAGGUAGUCGGCAAUUUUGUUUUGGGGUCCAGGUCGAUGUCUGACCUUAAACUGGUAGGGUUGCAGGGAGAGAUACCACCUAGUCACCCGGGAGUUGUGCAUCUACCUGAACAAUGAACGCCUUUGUGAAGUCCGGACUUAUGAGGACUGGGCCAGAACACAUCUGCCUCUUUAGAGUGUUGAAGGCCAUUUCACAUUCCUCAGUCCAGAUAAUCGGGUUCUUCACGUUCUUACAGA
Long non-coding RNA from Megalobrama amblycephala (Wuchang bream), 1215 nucleotides. RefSeq lists it as uncharacterized. The transcript is spliced from 3 exons. The record is from RefSeq and is a predicted model, not a curated record. NCBI's taxonomy places the organism in Eukaryota, Metazoa, Chordata, Actinopteri, Cypriniformes, Xenocyprididae.